RNAcentral lists this long non-coding RNA (300 nucleotides) under Setaria italica (foxtail millet). Its description in RNAcentral is "long non-coding RNA (SITA_LNC004360)". The record is from RNAcentral. Lineage: Eukaryota; Viridiplantae; Streptophyta; Magnoliopsida; Poales; Poaceae.
GAAUUUGUAAUUGCAUUCAUCAUAUAUGUUUACAUCGGAUCAGUUCUCUGUUACUAUUAGCCAUGGCGACCAAGAUGCAUGGAGGAUCACCAAUUCACCAAGGUUGGCGUUACAUUUCGCUGCCGCCAGGCGCCAGCCAUGGUGCACCAGCUGCUAGGCGUCAGGCACCAGCUGCUAGGCGUCAGGCUAAGGAGGCGUACAUGUGGGGCGGGAGGCGCGGCGUGGCGACGGCGACGAGCGGCGUGGCCUUGGGCAUGGUCAUGCCGUAGACCUCCCGGGUGUCGACGUCCUCGGGUCGGA